UUUACUCAGUCAAAACAUUAAUUGAGUAAUGUGUUUUUUCAAAAUGCCAUGAAAUUAGCUAACCAAAAUAAGGGCUUUAUCUUGCGACAUAUUCCAAGUCAGUAUGAUUAUCCCUGACUAUUUCCUAGGGACCGUUUUAUUAUGCUGCAAGUUACUUUCAAAAUAUCCCCUCCCUCCCCGUUGUAACUGAUAUUAAUUUUCCCAACAAUUUUCUGGUGUGUAAUAUUUUUCUAAUUUUUUUUCAUUUCAGAUGCUAGAUCAUGAGCUAACCAAUUAAAUAUAAUUAAUCUUCUAAAAUACUUCAUUAUUAACAGCAGCAGUGCUCUUCACAUCAGGAUGUCCCAGACUUUUUCUUUGCUUCCAGGCUCACAGGUUUCCAGUGAUGUUUUCGUGGUCGUACAAAGUACGCAGGCAGUACCUUUUCUCAGCUCCCAAAGAGACAAGAGGUGACGCUGGUGUCGUGCCAUCUUGCUACAAACCUUCCCUUCCAGGGGGGCUUUCGUCUCGGUGUGUCUGAAGAGCAGGUCAUUACAAAGCCACGGCAGCCAGAGGCGGACGUGAGGGUGCAGCAAUGGAAAGAGUCGAUCACUGGAGCCAGGGAUGGAAAAUGAAUGCAGCAUCAGCUGCGGCAACAAUAGCAUUUAGCGACGUUAGACAGCUCCGUGAGGCUGCGGGAAUGAAGAAGCCCAGACAACAGCCACCCUCCCUUAAGUCCUGCCUGAGACUGAUGUGGGGACAUUAUGCUGUGCCUCCCCGGCCCGGCCUUCUCGCCGUUUCCAGCUCUGCCAUAGGGAGCUGCUCUCCGUGUCUCGAUUCUGCCUUGAUCCUCUUCUGUUUCUCCUGCCACACAUUACUAAAUGCACCCGCACUAAAAUCAAUGGGAGUUUGAAAACUAAAAGUAAUGUGUGCUUUGGUAUGCUACUAAUCCACUUAUUUGGAUCCUCUUACUGCUCCUCUGGGCUGCCCUGAUCCUCUCUAUCAGCCCACCCAGCUGCUCUGAUCUGCUCUCUAA
This is a long non-coding RNA of Calidris pugnax (ruff), 1012 nucleotides long. RefSeq lists it as uncharacterized. The transcript has 3 exons. The record is from RefSeq and is a predicted model, not a curated record. Lineage: Eukaryota; Metazoa; Chordata; Aves; Charadriiformes; Scolopacidae.